UACCAGCACCCCGAGUGGUCGGGACGUUUAUUGGGUCUAAAGCAUCCGUAGCCGGUUCUACAAGUCUUCCGUUAAAUCCACCUGCUUAACAGAUGGGCUGCGGAAGAUACUAUGGAGCUAGGAGGCGGGAGAGGCAAGCGGUACUCGAUGGGUAGGGGUAAAAUCCGUUGAUCCAUUGAAGACCACCAGUGGCGAAGGCGGCUUGCCAGAACGCGCUCGACGGUGAGGGAUGAAAGCUGGGGGAGCAAACCGG
Molecule: ribosomal RNA, 253 nt
Filed under: uncultured bacterium
Lineage: Bacteria
Description: partial 16S ribosomal RNA
Rfam family: Archaeal small subunit ribosomal RNA
Source: RNAcentral